This 202-nucleotide long non-coding RNA is filed under the name Pan troglodytes (chimpanzee). RNAcentral's name for it is "long non-coding RNA NONPTRT002393". Lineage: Eukaryota; Metazoa; Chordata; Mammalia; Primates; Hominidae. The record is from RNAcentral.
GAGUCAGGCUUUAGAGAAUAUCUACAGAUCAGGAGCAAUGGAUCAAGUCUCCAAUGGCGGUGGAGAGAUCUACAUAGACACCCUUUUCACUUGAUUCUUCCAAAAGAUUGAGGGAAGAGGAUGAAAGGGGGAGAACACAAAACUGAAAGGUCGAAGUGAGCAGAGCAAUUGUGUCUGAGCUGUUGUCCUCUCUGUUCUGCCC